GUGUCAGCAGCCGCGGUAAUACGUAGGGAGCAAGCGUUGUCCGGAAUCAUUGGGCGUAAAGCGCGCGUAGGUGGCCCGGUAAGUCCGCUCUGAAAGUCACAGGCUCAACCUGUGAAAGCGUGUGGAUACUGCCGGGCUAGAGUCCGGAAGAGGCGAGUGGAAUUCCUGGUGUAGCGGUGGAAUGCGCAGAUAUCAGGAGGAACACCAACGGCGAAGGCAGCUCGCUGGGACGGUACUGACACUGAGGCGCGAAAGCGUGGGGAGCGAACAGGAUUAGAAACCCUCGUAGUCC
RNAcentral lists this ribosomal RNA (292 nucleotides) under uncultured bacterium. Its description in RNAcentral is "partial 16S ribosomal RNA". It matches the Rfam family "Bacterial small subunit ribosomal RNA", at positions 505 to 796 of the family's 1533-position model. The record is from RNAcentral.